RNAcentral lists this ribosomal RNA (422 nucleotides) under uncultured bacterium. Its description in RNAcentral is "bacterial SSU rRNA". It matches the Rfam family "Bacterial small subunit ribosomal RNA", at positions 355 to 774 of the family's 1533-position model. The record is from RNAcentral.
UGAGGAAUAUUGGGCAAUGCCCGAAAGGGUGACCCAGCAACGCCGCGUGGAGGAUGAAGGUCGUAAGAUUGUAAACUCCUGUUAGAGGGGAAGAAUAACUAAGUUUGGAGCUUAGUAUGACUGUACCCGCAGAAUAAGCCCCGGCUAACUUCGUGCCAGCAGCCGCGGUAAGACGAAGGGGGCAAGCGUUGUUCGGAAUUACUGGGCGUAAAGGGCGCGUAGGCGGUUUGCUUAGUCAGGCGUGAAAGCCCUGGGCUUAACCUGGGAUGUGCGCUUGAUACUGGCAGGCUUGAGUGUGGGAGAGGUUGGUGGAAUUCCCAGUGUAGAGGUGAAAUUCGUAGAUAUUGGGAAGAACACCGGUGGCGAAGGCGGCCAACUGGACCACAACUGACGCUGAGGCGCGAAAGCGUGGGGAGCAAACA